This 30-nucleotide non-coding RNA is filed under the name Rattus norvegicus (Norway rat). Lineage: Eukaryota; Metazoa; Chordata; Mammalia; Rodentia; Muridae. The record is from RNAcentral.
UACAGGGCUACGUUUUGUGCUGUCACUGGA